Pangasius djambal is the source of this 74-nucleotide non-coding RNA. Lineage: Eukaryota; Metazoa; Chordata; Actinopteri; Siluriformes; Pangasiidae. The record is from the annotation of a GenBank genome assembly.
GGCAGUAGUAGCUCAGUAGUUAAACUGUUAGACUACAGAUUACAAGGUCAUGAGUUCAAAUCUCAGCACCGCCA